GGCAUAUGUAGAAAUGAUGCACCCAUGCUGUGCACACACCUGUGCAUACUGCGGGCACGCACAGCCUUCCCUGUGCAGAUAACACGAAUCCAUGCACAUUGCACACACGUGUGUAUGCCUGUGCUGCACACAUCUGUCCCUAUGCAUGACACCAGUCAUGCAUGUGCACACAUGGCUUCGCAUAUAUGGAUGUGUACACACAUAUGCGGCACCUGUGGCCUUGCCCACCCUCCUAGGCUGAGGAGAAGAUGUAUUUCUGGGUUGCUGCUGCAGCCAGCUCUUCCGGGGCUGCGGCUGGGUUCUGCCUCGCCUGCCUGGUCUGCACAGCUCCACCUGGCUCCUGCGGUCAGCCCUCCUCUCCACGCUGUGAGCUGUGAGGACAUUUCUCAUUAACUCUUGUGGACCCUGGGCCUGACCAUGUGCUGUCCGCAGGCCUGGAUGCCCUCUGCCUCAUCUUUCCUGGGGCUCGCUUCCUUCAAGACUUGUCCCAUGAUGUUCCUCCUUCAGGAAGCCUCCCGUGACCUCCCGGGCUGGAUCUGGGCCACUUUUGCCGGCCUCCUGCAUGCCCCAUGGGGCAUGGCCAUCAUCAGUAACCAUACAUCUCAGCUGUGUCCCAUCCCCACUGCCUGGUCCAGGGCUGGGCUCUCAGCUCACAGAAAGAGCUGAAUGAAGGCCUGGUGGCAGGAUGGGUGCCGUGAAGGGCAGAUGGGCUUGUGGGCCUGGCUCUAGCCUCCUUAGCCGCACUGAUGCUUGCUGGGUGCUGAGUGCAGGGGGUGCCUUCACCUGGUGGCUGCUUGUGCCAGGCCCCAGUGCCCCUGGCCAACAGGCCCUUUUCUCAGUUCCAUGGAGUUUGGGGUCAUCAGAUGUGGCUUUAGGCUCCUGCUCAUUCCCUUACUUAUUGUCUGGCAGUGGGGGAGCCUUCUGGCUUCCAGGGCCUCAGUUUCCCCUGUCUGUAAAAUGGGAGCAUUGGACCAGAGCAUUCCGAGGCCCAUGCCAGCCCUGAGUGACCCCCUCCCCCAACUUGGCUGUGAGCUCCUGGGGGUGGGGGUGGCGCCUGCCUGCCCAUCUCUGCCCUCGGUUGGUGUCCGCAGGGGAAAGGGAAGAGGCUGGACUCGGGGAGAGACCCCUCUCCACUCAGCCCUGGUGGGUGCGGGAACCAAGGGAAGCCAGCCCUAUCUUCUUGUCUCAAGACCAAGAGGACAUGUUUUCUCCCUGGAGCUGAGCUGAGCUUUCUUUCCCUAUGUUUAUUUGAAAUUUCAUUUUUAAAGACGAGUCAGGGAAAAAUGAGGCUUGCUUCUCUCCCUGCCCCUCCCUGAAGAAUUCCAGAAGCUGAUUUGUCUUGUCAGGAUGUGGCAGGGAGCCGUGGCCUGGGCUGGCUCUCUGAGCUGUUGCAUAUUGAUCAGCAUUGAUGGGUUUGGCACAGUCGAGUUCUUACAGAGCUGGCGGAAGUCCCUCUGGAGAAAGAACUGCUUCGGGGACUGGCUUUGAUUUGCAAUGAGUGUAAUAGAUUAAAGCAGUGGGUCAGCAUGUCUUAUUGAGCACCAGCUGUGUACCUCAGCCCUGGCCCUGCUGGGAUCCAAGCUCAGAUCCCCGCCUCCCCCGACCCUCUCGGUUGCCACCGAGCCCCACCUCUGCCUGCCCGCUGCACCUGCUCCAGUCUCCACCUGGCUUCUCCUGCUAGGGGCUGUGCCCUGCCCGCUAGCUGCCUGAGCCUGACAUUCAGGGCCCUCCAGUGCCCAACCUCAACCCACAGCCCUUCACUGGUUCAGUUGUCAUGCAGUCCGCAGACACCAGGAAGCAUCCUCUGCGUGCAGCCCUGGAGAUGUAGAGGUGACGAAGGCAGGGCGGCCCAGAAGACCUCACCUCCUGCUCCACCAUCCUGGGCCUGGGCCUAGCGGGGUAGGCUGGCAGCAGGCCUGCUGCCUGGACUCUGGGUUCGAGCUGGCUGGGUUUUCCUCUGUGACCUUUCCCAGCCUUGGUGGCCGCUGUGCACACUCCUCAGAAUGACGUCUGCAGAGCUCUCAGCCUGGGGCCUGCCCGUUGCUGGGUGGUUGCAGGAAGGAGGCCACUUGACCCCGUUCCAGCCAAUGAUACCUCCCUGAGGACAAGGGUGAAAGGUGCCGGGAGGCCCACUGCCUGCCUUCCUGCUUGCUUGGGCACAUGUGAGGAUGUGAUGCCCGGAGCAGCAGCAGCUGUCAUGUGACCAGGAGGAGCUGAGGAUGAGGAUGAAAACCAUGGAAGGAAAGAGGGUGUGUCCCCUGUGCCAUUGUUCUUGAGCCUCCAAGAACCCACCCGGGACCUACCCUUUGUCCAGACUUCCUCCUGCCGAAGGACGUACUAAGUGGACUUACUGUUUUACCCUUUUAGGGAGGAAGGUUCUGUAACUUGCGGCUGAAUGCGUCCAAGCCAUGAGUUGUCCCCCAAGCUCGUGAGUUGUCCCCAGCUCAAUUCUGCCUCCUUUGGAGAGUGACGUCCCACACACCUGUGCAACCUUGCAUGCCAAAAGGACUUUGCAGACAUGACUGAGGACCUUGCAUGCGGGAGGUGAUCCCCACGACACCUGUGGACCCAGUGUCAUCAGGGUCCUUGUAAGUGAAAGAGGCAAGAGGACCCCAGAAGAGGAGGUGUGAUGACAGAAGUGGAGGUCGGAGUGACAUGGAGACGGGACCCCUGGCUGCAGGAUGCAGUGCUUCUGGGAGCUGGAGAGGCCAAGAGACAGACUCUGGCCUGGAGCCUUCGGAAGGCACCGGCCCUGCAGACCACUUCAGACUUCCGACCUCCAGGGCCGGAAGAGGAAGCUUGGUGUGGUUCUAAGCGGUGGCAUUUGUGAUCAUUUCUCACCGCAGCCACAGUAGAUGGAGGCAACACCCGUGGGUGUUUGAGGGAUGGAUGAGUGGAAGCAUGCGUGUGGUGGAGGCCACUGCACCGUCCAAUUCCAGACAGUCCCGAGGAACGCCCGCUGGCAGCCCUGCCUCGGCUGUUGAGUCAUUAUGUGAUCUUGGGCAAGUCUGAACCUCUGCUUCACCACCUGUGAAUUCAGGGACAGGACUCAGUGGUCUUUCUCGGUCUUUCCAGGCCCUCAAGUCCUGGAGGGCACUGUGGGAGUGUGAGGUGGAGCCCGGGAGUCCCGCGGAUGGAGAUGAAAAUGCCAGCCCUGCUAGAUCCAGGCGGGAUGGAGUGUGGGGUGUGGGCACAGUGGCUUGUACAGGCCUGGGCUGGGCAGACUUGCCCCGGAGUCUCAGGCCACUGCGGAAGGAGGACGCGUGGCCAGCAGGUGCCACCAGGAGAGGAGAGGAGGGCCAGGCUGAGCUGCAUCUCUGGACUCCAAGGAGAGCUUGGAGAGGUGACUGAAACCCUGCCCCACCCCCAGCCUGUCUCCAUCUGUGGGUCCUUGGGCAAAUUGCCUCAUCUCUCUGAGCCUCGAAUGCGUAGCUUUCAGGACUAACUAGGGUACUGUGUACCAACUGCCUCUGCCAACGCCCCUGCACUGGGCAGCCCUGGGUACCUGGCUUGGGGGAGGAGUAGGCCUGGGAGGAGACUGAUGCUACAUUUCUCUUUAUCUAUCCCUGUAUUGUUUAAUUUGUUCCAAGUGCUUGAGUUACUUUGGCAAAUAGAAACAAUUCUAAUAAAGAGAACUAAGACCUUAGGAUCCCUGGCGCGUAGCAAGCUCUCGGCAAAUCGCAGUUGACCCUC
Molecule: long non-coding RNA, 3693 nt
Filed under: Homo sapiens (human)
Lineage: Eukaryota; Metazoa; Chordata; Mammalia; Primates; Hominidae
Description: non-protein coding lnc-LRPAP1-3:2
Source: RNAcentral